This 180-nucleotide ribosomal RNA is filed under the name Triticum aestivum (bread wheat). RNAcentral's name for it is "partial small subunit ribosomal RNA". The record is from RNAcentral. Lineage: Eukaryota; Viridiplantae; Streptophyta; Magnoliopsida; Poales; Poaceae.
AGGAAGGCGAUUUCAUCACUCAUCAUGCUUGUUACUUGGGAAGUGUGGAAAGAGAGAAACGCGAGGGUGUUUCAGCAUGUAUGUAGGUUGCCAAACGUGUUGGUUGAGACUAUUAAAGCAGAGGCGACGCUCUGGAUUGUCGCAGGGGCGAAGCAUUUGGGUUUUUUGAUGUCGCGAUAG